GUUUGGGCAGGUGGGGGCAGGGAUGCUCAUGGCAGGGCAGAAAGAACAACAUCUUGUCUGCUUGUGCAUGAGUGCAAAGCCUGGGGGUCACGAGGUCCUGUUUACCUGUGGCAGGUAUUUCCUCUAUGGGCUGAUAAGAGCCGACCAGGGGAAGUGCUCCGUCACAGAGAGUUUCAGGAGGAAGGAUUGCUGGAAGAGAUCAGUGGGAGCCACUGAGUGGGCAGAGAAAAAUAGCCAGGCCAGUGAAGAUGGAUGGGUGACAGUCCCAUCGGUCACAGCGAUUCAGCGCUCAGUCACCACGGAGACAAGCAGUGAAACCGGGAAUGCUGGAAGGCCACAACCUGAGAAAAAAAUUAUAUGGAAAAGAAAGCAGAUUCAAUUUUAUAAAUGUAAAUCACAAACUGAUAAAUGCAGUUGGUACUUUCCAUGAAUGCAGACCCAUUAUUUUGGGACUAUUGGACAAUGUUUUUUUUUUUUAAUUAUUACAGACAGAAAUCUUAUGUUUUUUGCUGUGAAAAAAAAGUAAAAUAAGUUAUUUAGGCUAAAUUUGCAAUGUUGCUUUUAAUUUGAAACAUUUCAUUUUUUAUGAUUUAGUGUUUUUAAUUUAACAUUUAGUCUAUAUUUAAUGUUGGUGGGUGUGUGUGUGUGUUUUAUUGGAAAAUAAAAAUCAGGUUUUAAACUUUUACA
This is a long non-coding RNA of Cyprinus carpio (common carp), 687 nucleotides long. The record is from Ensembl. NCBI's taxonomy places the organism in Eukaryota, Metazoa, Chordata, Actinopteri, Cypriniformes, Cyprinidae.